RNAcentral lists this ribosomal RNA (573 nucleotides) under uncultured fungus. Its description in RNAcentral is "eukaryotic LSU rRNA". The stretch from base 229 to 382 matches the Rfam family "5.8S ribosomal RNA". Lineage: Eukaryota; Fungi. The record is from RNAcentral.
AAGUCGUAACAAGGUUUCCGUAGGUGAACCUGCGGAAGGAUCAUUACUGAGCUUCAAAGUCUGAUUGGGGCUUAUACCCCCAUCAGAUGAGAACUCCACCCUUUGUUUACAUUACCUUUGUUGCUUUAGCAGGCCCGCCUCUGGCCACCGGCUUCUUGCUGGUCAGUGCCUGCUAAAGGACCCAAAACUCAUGUUAAUAAUAUUGUCUGAGUACUAUAUAAUAGUUAAAACUUUCAACAACGGAUCUCUUGGUUCUGGCAUCGAUGAAGAACGCAGCGAAAUGCGAUAAGUAAUGUGAAUUGCAGAAUUCAGUGAAUCAUCGAAUCUUUGAGCGCACAUUGCGCCCUCUGGUAUUCCGGGGGGCAUGCCUGUUCGAGCGUCAUUACAACCCUCAAGCUCAGCUUGGUAUUAGGCUUCGCCUGCUAUGGGCGGGCCUUAAAAUCAGUGGCGGUGCCAUUUGGCUUCAAGCGUAGUAACAUUUCUCGCUCAGGAGUACCGAUUGAGUGCCUGCUAUAAAAACCCAAUUUUUCAAAGGUUGACCUCGGAUCAGGUAGGGAUACCCGCUGAACUUAA